RNAcentral lists this transfer RNA (78 nucleotides) under Escherichia coli. Its description in RNAcentral is "tRNA-Ile". It matches the Rfam family "tRNA". From Rfam's summary of the family: Transfer RNA (tRNA) molecules are approximately 80 nucleotides in length. Their secondary structure includes four short double-helical elements and three loops (D, anti-codon, and T loops). Further hydrogen bonds mediate the characteristic L-shaped molecular structure. tRNAs have two regions of fundamental functional importance: the anti-codon, which is responsible for specific mRNA codon recognition, and the 3' end, to which the tRNAs corresponding amino acid is attached (by aminoacyl-tRNA synthetases). tRNAs cope with the degeneracy of the genetic code in two manners: having more than one tRNA (with a specific anti-codon) for a particular amino acid; and 'wobble' base-pairing, i.e. permitting non-standard base-pairing at the 3rd anti-codon position. Lineage: Bacteria; Pseudomonadati; Pseudomonadota; Gammaproteobacteria; Enterobacterales; Enterobacteriaceae. The record is from RNAcentral.
AGGCUUGUAGCUCAGGUGGUUAGAGCGCACACCCUGAUAAGGGUGAGGUCGGUGGUUCAAGUCCCUCCAGGCCUACCA